GUGUCAAGAUGCCAAUCACCUUCCAUGGGUCGUUCAUACCCUGAAGAAACGACUUGCACAGAGCUGUGUUUUUUUACAAUAUCGGCAAUGGAAAUACAUAAUAUUCAAUACACAUUUCAAAAAUAUAUAUUGAUGAUAACAUUCCCUUUAAUGUAAUAAUCAUUUGUUAUCCAUACCUGAUAAUUAAUAAUACGAAGCUGACAGUUUGCUAUCGUUGAUGGUAAACCUUCAGUGCCAUAUGUAUUGUGAUGUCAUGUCAUGUACCAUUAAUUCUGUUUGUAUUACAUGGGGUAUGUUGUACUGUUAGUGGUAUCAUUAAUAUGGUUGUGUAUAAUAUGGUUCUAUGAUCUUUAACCAGUUGUCAUUUUAUAAGAUUGUCUUGAAGUAAUAGUUUGUUCCCUAGGGUAGCAUAGUGGUUAAAAUGCUUGCUCAUCAUGGCAGACCUGGGUUCGAUUCCCCACAUAUGUGUCAAGCCUUCUGUGCCUUGUAUAAUUUACGCUGGUCCCAAACAAUGUACAGGUAUAUGCAAGAUAGAAAUUGCUAUCAUGUUUGAUAGUUCCAUUAUCUUUUACUGCAAAUUUGGUUAAACCUUGUUAAUGCCAAACAGUUUGUCCAGAACAGCGACUUCUUUACGAAUAUGGUUGAGAACAUCUGCAAUCCUCCAUACCAAUGUAUGUUGGUAAUCUUGGAAUUUGUGAGAUGGGUGAUUCUGCUCCAAACAUUGCCGUCCAGUUUAGCAAAGUUUCAUCAAGUUUCAUAAUUUGAGAAAACAGUUUUGUCGGUGGUUGCUGCUGAAAGAUUGUUUGACAUUUGACAAGAUGUUCAAUGUUGUGAUUUUUCAUCUUCUUCAUCUUUAUUUUGUCUGUGAAACACAUGGAGAUGCUAUUUCGGUAAGACUACAGAAUACCGGAUACCUUCCGCCAUCUUUGAAAGCACGCGAGUUUACUUAGGGUUAGGGUAAGGGUUAGCGUUUGGGUUCGGGUGAUGUGACACUAAACAAUAUGGCUGGUAGGUAUCCGGUAUUCUGUAGGUGUACCGGUAUUUCCAGCCAUAGUACCUGAUAAUUCAGGUAUAAUUAAACGUGUGGUAUAUGCUUGUAGUGCCUGUUUUUGAAACAUUUUGAUGAUAUUUGUGAUGAAUCUGGCGUGUUGAUUCUAUUUGGAUGUAUUUAAUGCCUGUUGCCAUUUUGUUCCAUUUGUAAGUGACCAAUUAUUUAACCUAAACUAUCUUUUUGUGUGACAUGUUGAAAAUGCAGGGAAAUCACCUAUCAUUGUGGUGAUUGUUUUACGCACAGUUGGCUAUAAUCAUUUUUCUUACCAACUUUAGCAUUCUAUAUAUUUUGACUUGUUAAAUGAUAUUUAUGACAAUCAUUUCUAUAUUUGUCUUUUUAGCACAUGAUAAAACAAGUUAAUGUUGUUCUGGUUUUAUACAGCUUUUUUUACAUCUAGUUUGUUCUGUUUGAUUCUUACCAAAUAUGUAUUUUUAUUGAAUAUGACUGAUUGGCGUACACCAUGAACAGUUACAAGUGUUAAAAGCACAGUUUCACACAUUUUCGACAAUAUUUUGGCCUAUAUUGUAUAUAUUUUGGGAUAUGCAUUCACUUUAGCUUCCUAUUAGUGCAAUAAAAGACAUAUUAUCCCUUA
Molecule: long non-coding RNA, 1643 nt
Filed under: Haliotis rubra (blacklip abalone)
Lineage: Eukaryota; Metazoa; Mollusca; Gastropoda; Lepetellida; Haliotidae
Description: uncharacterized LOC124284645
Source: RNAcentral